GAGUCGGGUUGUUUGGGAAUGCAGCCCUAAGUGGGUGGUAAACUCCAUCCAAGGCUAAAUACUAGCNCGAGUCCGAUAGCGAAGAAGUACCGCGAGGGAAAGUUGAAAAGAACUUUGAAGAGAGAGUUCAAGAGUACGUGAAACCGCUGAGAGGCAAACUGGUGGAGCUGAAAUGGCUUCGAGGAAUUCAGCCGUUGGGUUUUGUCAUAAUCCUCUGUGUCUGAUCUCACGACAGCGCAGUUGGUUAACGUCGAUUCCAUAGGUGCACUUUCCUCGUUAGCCCAACCACGACCGGUGAAUAUUCGAUUGUCUAUCGUGUUUGGAAGGUAGCGCCGGCUUCGGUCUGCGUAUUAUAGACAGACAUAUAGAGUGAUUGGUUCACUGGGCGAUAACGCCUGCCUAUUAAGGCUCAUACGUUGGCUGUCUUGUGAAUACUCUCUGAUUUCACUACUUCGGUAGGGGAGUUGGAAUUAUUUGCCUUACGGUCGGCCUCUGUGAUUGGCGUUGGUUUAGUCUGUGGUUGUGAAGUAGGUAGUCCACCUGACCCGUCUUGAAACACGGACCAAGGAGUCUAACAUGUGCGCGAGUCAUUGGGUUCAUACGAAACCUAAAGGCGCAGUGAAGGUGAAGAUCCACUUAUGGUGGAUUGAGGUGGGAUGCUGGGCUACGUACUCAGCCGCACUACCGGCCCGUUCCACAUGUAUCUCAUGGGAGCGGAGCAAGAGCGUACACGUUGGGACCCGAAAGAUGGUGAACUAUGCUUGCGCAGGUCGAAGCCAGAGGAAACUCUGGUGGAGGACCGCAGCGAUUCUGACGUGCAAAUCGAUCGUCAAACGUGAGUAUAGGGGCGAAAGACUAAUCGAACCAUCUAGUAGCUGGUUCCCUUCGAAGUUUCCCUCAGGAUAGCUGGCACUCGGGAACUUAAACAGUUUUAUCCGGUAAAG
RNAcentral lists this ribosomal RNA (944 nucleotides) under Enchiridium magec. RNAcentral's name for it is "partial large subunit ribosomal RNA". It matches the Rfam family "Eukaryotic large subunit ribosomal RNA", at positions 262 to 1013 of the family's 3401-position model. The record is from RNAcentral. Lineage: Eukaryota; Metazoa; Platyhelminthes; Polycladida; Prosthiostomidae.